This 995-nucleotide long non-coding RNA is filed under the name Zonotrichia albicollis (white-throated sparrow). Its description in RNAcentral is "lncRNA (ENSZALG00000004032.1)". The record is from RNAcentral. Lineage: Eukaryota; Metazoa; Chordata; Aves; Passeriformes; Passerellidae.
CUUUUAUCAACCAGAGACUGUCAGAAGCUGUGAGGAAAGGAAAGCAAAGGAGAAAAUGCCUAGGAGCCUAUGAUGACACACCAAUUGUUUGCUUUAAUUCCUCUUUGAAGAACAGAAAGAAGAAAGAAAGCUGCUAGCAUCAUUCCUAUCAGAACUUGGAGGAACUAGCUGUCUCUUUUGCUUGGCAGCCUGUAUUGUGCAAAGCUCAGCCAGUCAAGCAGAAAUUGGAAUAAUUUCUACUGAUUCUUCCUGUUGUAAAAAGCUUGAUGUUUACACAUGCACAAAACACACAAGGAUCCGUGUCCAUCUUGGAGUGGAAGAAUUAUUGCACAGUGAUGAAUUUGCUUUGUCUACACCAUGAUUUCAGGAACAGCACAGCAAAAUUAGAUCUUCCACAAGCUUUUCUUAUCCUGCAUCCUGGGUGGCCUUCUCUAUGUGAGGACACUUUCCUUCCUAGACCUACUGCUUGGACCUCACUGUCUCACUGAAACCAUUCCUGUUUUAUAGGCAACUGCAGCUUUGGAAUGUAGAGCACACACCUCUGAGUGUAUGUGGGUAUGUUUAUCUGAAUGUGACUGUAUGUCCUGUCAUAAUGGAGGUCUUUUCUGGAGGAAGAGCUUGAUCUUACUGAAAUCAGGUUAAUCUGAAAUUGGUUUUCCACAAAAGACAGCAUCAAAUUGCUAAUUUGACCAUUUUUAAUCUCCUAGGUUAGAUUUUCAAGAGAAUGAUCACUCUGCUGGCUUUGCAGUCAAUGGAGAUUUAUCACCAACUGAUCCCUUUGGAAAUUAUUACUUUAAUGGAGAUUAAUAACAGUGAUCAACUCAUUAUUAAAUAAUCUUACUAAGGAAUUGUCCAUACAUUCAGGAGACAUUUUGGAAGAACAACAACUCCCUCUGCAUCCUGUCUCAUGUUCUUGGACUGCUGCCAGAAAGAGUCCUUCUGUUUAUUCUUCUGUCAAACAAACUGCUGAAUAAAGAAAUCAAAGUGUAACUCCA